UUAGAGGAUUUGAAGACUUCAGCUUGCAUACUUGGAGAAUUUGAAGGCUUCAACUUGCAUACUUGGAAGAUUUGAAGACUUCAAUU
RNAcentral lists this microRNA precursor (86 nucleotides) under Solanum tuberosum (potato). RNAcentral describes it as "MIR8024 microRNA precursor family". It matches the Rfam family "MIR8024 microRNA precursor family". The record is from Rfam by way of RNAcentral. Lineage: Eukaryota; Viridiplantae; Streptophyta; Magnoliopsida; Solanales; Solanaceae.